Long non-coding RNA from Alligator mississippiensis (American alligator), 1665 nucleotides. RefSeq lists it as uncharacterized. The transcript is spliced from 4 exons. NCBI's taxonomy places the organism in Eukaryota, Metazoa, Chordata, Crocodylia, Alligatoridae. The record is from RefSeq and is a predicted model, not a curated record.
GACAUGCUUUUUCAGUAGACUUUUGAAGGCGUUCAAGACUACUCGGUUUGCAGAAUUCAGCAAAUGCCAAGGCCAAACAGUUGAUGAGUUAGUAUAGAUUUAUAGUCAAUUGGUUUUGCUUUGGAGGGAGACUCAAUAAGCUGCACCCUUCUGAUUUUUCUGGACUUGGGGAGAAAAAUCCAUGUACCCCUGUGUUCUGCAGCUCUUGUACCCCUGUGGCUUUGACUAGCUCAGCUAAACUUCCCUAUGAGACUGGUUCAGAAUCAGAGGGAAACAACUGCACUUUACAAGAAAAGCUUUAGAAACCCAGAGGUUCCAGGCCGAAGGACACACACGGAUUAAGGAAAAUAAUUCUCCUAGAUCAGAUUGGUUCAGGCUGAGGGAAUUUUGCAGUCUUAUGUAGGAUGGAGCAUGGUCAUAUUCCUAGGAUCUUCAAGGCAUACCUGCUGCUGCAGUAUCGGGGUAUUAGCACUGCCGCUUGCCAGAUGCCAUCAGAGAAGACAGUACUAUCAUAGUGACAGUUCUGAGGGGGCAAUUAAAGAGAGAAGCCCCCCUAGCCCAGUGGUUGCUUGAGAUGCCUGAACCUGGGCAGGAGUCCCAUGCAAGCAUUCAGCAGGCUGCUGAGCCUCAUGCCCAGAUUCCCAGAGCAGUUGUUGAAGAUUUGGGAGAAAGGUGCCUCAUCCUGGACUCUGAGUGGAAGAUGUCUAUGAGGGAGAAGAGAUGCUGACAGGUGAAGCCUUUCUAAUGACUCCAGAAACACUACGCAUCAGCACUUCUGUAGUCCUGGAACCAGAGAAGUUGUUUUUGUGAAGAACAUAGACCCAAUGUUUCAGAUGAUGAUGAUAGUGGCUUUUCGAAGAAACUUAGGAAUAAAACUGAUUCUAUCUUGCAUCAAGAACAUAAGACUCAUGAAAACUCUUAUGCAUGUUUCUUUUUAUGGCAUCCUUAAAUAUUGUUUGAGAGAGAGGCUUUUUGAAGACUGCAUGGGUUGCCUUCUAAAUGACCCAGGAUGAGGAAGUCAUGACUCUGUGAAAUGGUCAGAUGGCAAUACAAAUUGGACAGUUUGGGAGCUCUGUGCUGAAUUGUAUAUGGAAAGUGGUUUUAAAUACUGUUAUUGUGAUAAGUUGUGCCACAAAUUGUCUGCACCUUACAGAGAAACAUUGGGCAUCUAUACAAGCGCUCUGGUGUGGAGUGGGGGUGGGGGGGUCACAUUAAUUAGAAUGGCUUGAGAGACAUUCUUAUUAAAGCACCCACAGCCUUGCAUGUAUUCAAUGUCCCACACUUGAAAAUGGUGGUGGGGUGCUUGAACUAAAACUUGUUCAAUGUGGAGGCUGUUGGACCACAUUCAUUAACAUGCUCCAGCAGACUCAAUUAAUCAAGACUGCUCCCACGCAUGCCAAUUAGCAUGUGUCAGAGUAGAUAUCUGGCAUGUGCAUAGCUGUUCAUUUAGCCCAGAGCUUAGCAAUUUAAAUGCUGUUCAUUUUGCUGAAGACCCUAAUGCUGCUCUAUACAGGGGGAUCAAUGAGAAGGAUAAGCCUAUGGUGCCCUAUACUGAAUGCUUGAUUGGCACUAGAAAUUAUAAAACCCUACUUAAGAGAAGGAUCUGGGUAGUAUAUUAUAUAAGCUAGUAUAAGAUUAGCAAGAACAGUAAAUUUUGUACAAAUA